GAUCCUGGCUCAGGAUGAACGCUGGCGGCGUGCUUAACACAUGCAAGUCGAACGAAGCACUUAAGAUUGAUUCUUCGGAUGACGUCUUUUGUGACUUAGUGGCGGACGGGUGAGUAACGCGUGGGUAAUCUGCCUCACACAGGGGGAUAAACAGUUAGAAAUGACUGCUAAUACCGCAUAACCCGAUAGGAUCGCAUGAUCCAGACGGAAAAGAUUUAUCGGUGUGAGAUGGACCCGCG
Molecule: ribosomal RNA, 239 nt
Filed under: uncultured bacterium
Lineage: Bacteria
Description: partial 16S ribosomal RNA
Rfam family: Bacterial small subunit ribosomal RNA
Source: RNAcentral